Molecule: long non-coding RNA, 847 nt
Organism: Osmerus eperlanus (European smelt)
Lineage: Eukaryota; Metazoa; Chordata; Actinopteri; Osmeriformes; Osmeridae
Exons: 4
Source: RefSeq, a predicted model, not a curated record
ACCUCUGACUUGUUUUGAUCGUCCAUGAAAAAUAGCAUAGCAGAAUACGCAUUUUCUAAAUUCAUCAUUCCUGCUGUUGUCAGUCUUCUGGAAUCGUUAAUUAACAAUCGACCGGCCAGAAGUCCUCUGUCUUCCGGGAGGUUGAUGGGAAGGAUUUAGAAGACUCGUCAAUCUGGGUUACUCACCCUGUCAUUCAUUGUAAAUUUUAAUCCAUGUGCCACCAAUCUACAAGUAGAAACACAUGAGUCUCUAGGUUCCAAGGGAUGUUUGGAUGAGGCUCUACAGACCUCUCUUUCUGAGUCCAGUGCUGGGCUGUCAGUUCUCCUGAGUCGAUACAAACCCUCGCCUGGGGCCUGGACUCCCUGCUGAGGCUCCGGCCUGCUGGCGGGAGAUCAAAGCCCUGCUGAGAACAAUGCACACACAGUUUCUGCCAUCCCUACCCUUCUCUUCCUGCGGUUCUCAUGGCUUGGUUUCCUGUGGAAAAUGAAGAGACAGUCUACAGCGUGUACACAGCUGGUUGGGAGACAAGCGGCCCCGAUUGUCUGUGAUGUCGAGCUCGAGAGAGGGGAAGAUCUUGUUGAACAUCUUGAAGUCCUUGCCGAAGCGAGGCAUCUGGAUGAUGAGGCAGGAGGGCGCCUGGGAGGCGCACACAGGCAAAACAAACGCACACGUUACAGAGGAACACGCUGUCAUACACUUGCACAUACAUAAUAAGGGAGUCAGAUGGCUGAGCGGUUAGGGAAUCGGGAUAGUAAUCUGAAGGUUGCCAGUUCGAUUCCCGGCCGUGACAAAAUGCCGUUGUGUCCCUGGGCAAGGCACUUCACCCUACUCACCUAGGGGGGAAUGU